Molecule: long non-coding RNA, 391 nt
Filed under: Rattus norvegicus (Norway rat)
Lineage: Eukaryota; Metazoa; Chordata; Mammalia; Rodentia; Muridae
Description: long non-coding RNA NONRATT023939
Source: RNAcentral
GGGCACCCAAGUGCCUGCAGGGAUGUUGUGCUGCAACAAGAAUUGUUACAGAUUCGGAACGUUUUCUAAAUCCCGGUAAGUUCUGUUGUUAAUAUUUAACAAGUAUUUUCAUACCUAGGGCAGCUAACCGUGGUAGGCUGAAGCCGAAGGGACACCCCGGCCAGGUUGGUGGCGCUGUUCCCACCAGCCCAGCCCGUUCGGACUCUGAAGGGGGGGAAAUUGGAUCACGGAGAUUCUAAAACAUUGCUCACCAAAGCACCAAUAAACCAAAUAAAUAGAUAAAUAAACAAAAAGGGAAAGUAAUUGAAAACUAAGUCCGCACAAAAUAUAUUUCUGAAAAUACUAGCCAGUGCCUCCAAGAUGUCUUCUGUUACUACAUUAGAUUUUUUGG